UUAUUUAAAAGAAAGAUCUAAUUAUAAAGAUAGGGGAAUUAUUACUUUUUCGUCAUUUAUUUUUAAUAUAGUAUAAUAACUCGUUAAUGAGAGUUAAAUGAAGUUUCACUUUCGAAAUCUAUCAUUAAGAAAAUUAUUAUCUGGUCCAAUAAUUCGUUGUUUACCUUUUAAUUCUAUGUAUUAACACACCUUUCAGUAUUUUCCAAUCAAACAUCGUAGACCAUACAUAAUUAUACGUCUUUAAUAUUAUCCAUCUUCUGCAAUACUGAGUAAUAUACCUGGCCUAUUUAAAGUGGUAAAACUUUCAAUGUUGCACAAUUCCUAAUAUUUUAUUGCUUUCUGAUCGUAAACGAUCAUCUGACCAGGAUGUGUUACCACUGUUAAACAGCGUUACCUCCAGCAUCUUUCAGAAAUCAAAUUAUUGUUGUUUUCACUGUCGUUCUUUUGUAAAAAAGUUACGUAAAUUCGUACGACCAAACCGACCGUGGUGUAUUCAGAUAAUAUCAUUCGUUACGAUACAAAUUAUUUAAAUUUUUCUAGAAAAAUUGUCUGAAUUUUGUAGAACACACGUAAAAAUUUUAUUCAAUUUUUGUAAUAAAAGAUCUAUGAAUCUUAUACAUUGUUUAAAACAAUUAGAGGAUCGUUUUUCAUUUAACUUUCAUUUCUAUAAUUACACAGUUUUACACAGUUUUUAUUACAAUAUUAUAUGAAUAACAUGUCAAUUUAUCAAGUUUAUAGCCCUCCUUUAUUUCUAUUUGCUUGGUUGAUGCAAUAAAACCAUUCAUAGCAGCGGUCCCCUAAUUGUUUUGAGCAGUGUAUAAUAAUCAUUCUCUAAAUUAUUCUGUAUUCUAUAGUCACAGCAACCAUAUUAAUAAAUCUUCUUAAAAUCUUACUCAAAAAAUAUUAGUUAUGAAUUCAAAAUAUUGUUAGAAAUUGUUAAAUUCCUAUUUUGAAUUUACUAAAUUUAUUAAAUUCUUAUUAAAACUUUCCAAAAGUUAAAUAUUAUUAUCCUAAUAGAAUAAAAUGAAUUUUAUACAAUAU
Molecule: unclassified non-coding RNA, 1041 nt
Filed under: Bombus terrestris (buff-tailed bumblebee)
Lineage: Eukaryota; Metazoa; Arthropoda; Insecta; Hymenoptera; Apidae
Description: misc RNA ENSBTSG00005020909.1
Source: RNAcentral